RNAcentral lists this transfer RNA (56 nucleotides) under Hyalella azteca. Its description in RNAcentral is "tRNA-Cys". The record is from RNAcentral. Lineage: Eukaryota; Metazoa; Arthropoda; Malacostraca; Amphipoda; Hyalellidae.
GACCAGAUGGUGUAAAACACAUUAAGUUGCAAGCUUAAAGAAGUUCGCUCUGGUUA